CUCCGAGUCCCUUCAUCAUCACAGGCAGCAGGAGAGGAGACCCGCAGGUGCCACGUGCCAGCCAGACUCUGCCACCUUGUUGUGACAGGCUCAGUCCAGUCCACCACAGGCAGGAGGAGAAUCGCUCCACCACCAGCAGCCAGCAGUGCCACCACCACCACCACCACCACCACCACCACCACCACCAGCACCACCGUCGUCGUUAUCAUCGUAUCAUCAUUAAUCAGAGUUUGACAACAUCAUCGUCACGUCAAGACUUGUGUCAUCCCUACUCACAAAUUCACAUAGAUGCCUGGCAUGCAUUGCAUUUGCUAGUAAAUAAAAAUGGCAGAAGUAGAACAAAAGGAACGAGAGAUAAAAAAUGCACCUAGCUUUUUAAAAGCAAACAUCUGGGAACAUUUUGGCUUUUAUGAAAAAAGUGGGAAGCACGAAUUGGACAAGUCAUACGCUGUGUGUAAAAUCUGUCACACAAAAAUUAAAUAUCUAGGGAAUACUACUAAUCUGAGAAACCACGUCAGCCGUUUUCACCCAGA
Rana temporaria (common frog) is the source of this 533-nucleotide long non-coding RNA. RefSeq lists it as uncharacterized. NCBI's taxonomy places the organism in Eukaryota, Metazoa, Chordata, Amphibia, Anura, Ranidae. The record is from RefSeq and is a predicted model, not a curated record. The transcript has 3 exons.